This 450-nucleotide ribosomal RNA is filed under the name uncultured bacterium. Its description in RNAcentral is "partial 16S ribosomal RNA". It matches the Rfam family "Bacterial small subunit ribosomal RNA", at positions 354 to 796 of the family's 1533-position model. The record is from RNAcentral.
GUGGGGAAUUUUGGACAAUGGGCGCAAGCCUGAUCCAGCAAUGCCGCGUGCAGGAAGAAGGCCUUCGGGUUGUAAACUGCUUUUGUACGGAACGAAAAGGCUCUGGUUAAUACCUGGGGCUCAUGACGGUACCGUAAGAAUAAGCACCGGCUAACUACGUGCCAGCAGCCGCGGUAAUACGUAGGGUGCAAGCGUUAAUCGGAAUUACUGGGCGUAAAGCGUGCGCAGGCGGUUUUGUAAGACAGACGUGAAAUCCCCGGGCUCAACCUGGGAAUGGCGUUUGUGACUGGAAAGCUGGAGUGCGGCAGAGGGGGAUGGAAUUCCGCGUGUAGCAGUGAAAUGCGUAGAUAUGCGGAGGAACACCGAUGGCGAAGGCAAUCCCCUGGGCCUGCACUGACGCUCAUGCACGAAAGCGUGGGGAGCAAACAGGAUUAGAAACCCGUGUAGUCC